AAGCACCGGCCAACUACGUGCCAUCAGCCGCGGUAAUACGUAGGGUGCAAGCGUUGUCCGGAAUUAUUGGGCGUAAAGAGCUCGUAGGCGGUUUGUCGCGUCUGCUGUGAAAACCCGAGGCUCAACCUCGGGCCUGCAGUGGGUACGGGCAGACUAGAGUGCGGUAGGGGAGAAUGGAAUUCCUGGUGUAGCGGUGGAAUGCGCAGAUAUCAGGAGGAACACCGGUGGCGAAGGCGGGUCUCUGGGCAGUAACUGACGCUGAGGAGCGAAAGCGUGGGGAGCGAACAGGAUUAGAUACCCUGGUAG
Molecule: ribosomal RNA, 306 nt
Filed under: Rhodella violacea
Lineage: Eukaryota; Rhodophyta; Rhodellophyceae; Rhodellales; Rhodellaceae
Description: partial Bacterial small subunit ribosomal RNA
Rfam family: Bacterial small subunit ribosomal RNA
Source: RNAcentral